AUCAUAUGCUUGUCUCAAAGAUUAAGCCAUGCACGUCUAAGUACGAGCACUUGUACUGUGAAACUGCGAAUGGCUCAUUAAAUCAGUUAUCGUUUAUUUGAUCGUACCAUUACUACAUGGAUAACCGUAGUAAUUCUAGAGCUAAUACAUGCGAAAAGUCCCGACUUCUGGAAGGGAUGUAUUUAUUAGAUUAAAAACCAAUGCGGGUUCGCGCCCGGUCACUUGGUGAUUCAUAGUAACUAUUCGAAUCGCAUGGCCUUUGCGCCGGCGAUGAUGCAUUCAAAUUUCUGCCCUAUCAACUGUCGAUGGUAAGGUAGUGGCUUACCAUGGUUGCAACGGGUGACGGAGAAUCAGGGUUCGAUUCCGGAGAGGGAGCCUGAGAAACGGCUACCACAUCCAAGGAAGGCAGCAGGCGCGAAAAUUACCCAAUCCUGACGCAGGGAGGUAGUGACGAAAAAUAACAAUACAGGGCUCUUUGAGUCUUGUAAUUGGAAUGAGUACAAUUUAAACCUCUUAACGAGGAACAAUUGGAGGGCAAGUCUGGUGCCAGCAGCCGCGGUAAUUCCAGCUCCAAUAGCGUAUACUAACGUUGUUGCAGUUAAAAAGCUCGUAGUUGGAUUUCGGGAGGGUGCGGUCGGUCAGCCGCAAGGUAUGUCACUGGCCUUCUUCGCAAAGACCGUCCGUGCUCUUAGCUGAGUGCGGUCGGGAUUCGCGACGUUUACUUUGAA
Molecule: ribosomal RNA, 728 nt
Filed under: Primnoella insularis
Lineage: Eukaryota; Metazoa; Cnidaria; Anthozoa; Scleralcyonacea; Primnoidae
Description: SSU rRNA
Rfam family: Eukaryotic small subunit ribosomal RNA
Source: RNAcentral